CCUACGGGGGGCUGCAGUGGGGAAUAUUGGACAAUGGGCGAAAGCCUGAUCCAGCCAUGCCGCGUGUGUGAAGAAGGCCUUCGGGUUGUAAAGCACUUUCAGUGGGGAAGAAAGCCUUGGGGCUAAUACCCUCGAGGAAGGACAUCACCCACAGAAGAAGCACCGGCUAACUCCGUGCCAGCAGCCGCGGUAAUACGGAGGGUGCGAGCGUUAAUCGGAAUUACUGGGCGUAAAGCGCGCGUAGGCGGUCUGAUAAGCCGGUUGUGAAAGCCCCGGGCUCAACCUGGGAACGGCAUCCGGAACUGUCAGGCUAGAGUGCAGGAGAGGAAGGUUGAAUUCCCGGUGUAGCGGUGAAAUGCGUAGAGAUCGGGAGGAAUACCAGUGGCGAAGGCGGCCUUCUGGACUGACACUGACGCUGAGGUGCGAAAGCGUGGGUAGCAAACAGGAUUAGAUACCCCGGUAGUC
Molecule: ribosomal RNA, 465 nt
Filed under: Vreelandella stevensii
Lineage: Bacteria; Pseudomonadati; Pseudomonadota; Gammaproteobacteria; Oceanospirillales; Halomonadaceae
Description: partial 16S ribosomal RNA
Rfam family: Bacterial small subunit ribosomal RNA
Source: RNAcentral